AUUGCCCUAGUAACGGCGAGUGAAGCGGCAAUAGCUCAAAUUUGAAAUCUGGCCCUUGUAGGGCCCGAGUUGUAAUUUGCAGAGGGCGCUUUGGCGUUGGUAGCGGCCUAAGUUCCUUGGAACAGGACGUCGCAGAGGGUGAGAAUCCCGUACGUGGCCGCCUACCUCCGCCGUGUAAAGCCCCUUCGACGAGUCGAGUUGUUUGGGAAUGCAGCUCUAAAUGGGAGGUAAAUUUCUUCUAAAGCUAAAUACCGGCCAGAGACCGAUAGCGCACAAGUAGAGUGAUCGAAAGAUGAAAAGCACUUUGGAAAGAGAGUCAAAUAGCACGUGAAAUUGUUGAAAGGGAAGCGCUUGCAGUCAGACUUGCCCGCAGUUGCUCACCCCGGCUCUUGCCUGGGGCACUCUUCUGCGGGCAGGCCAGCAUCAGUUUGGGCGACCGGAUAAAGGCCUCUGUCAUGUAUCUUCCUUCGGGAUGACCUUAUAGGGGAGGUGUAAUGCGGCCAGCCCGGACUGAGGUCCGCGCUUUUGCUAGGAUGCUGGCGUAAUGGCUGUAAGCGGCCCGUCUUGAAACACGGACCAAGGAGUCUAACAUCUAUGCGAGUGUUUGGGUGUCAAGCCCGGGCGCGCAAUGAAAGUGAACGGAGGUGGGAACCCUCGGGUGCACCAUCGACCGAUCCUGAUGUCUUCGGAUGGAUUUGAGUAAGAGCAUAGCUGUUGGGACCCGAAAGAUGGUGAACUAUGCUUGAAUAGGGUGAAGCCAGAGGAAACUCUGGUGGAGGCUCGCAGCGGUUCUGACGUGCAAAUCGAUCGUCAAAUUUGGGCAUA
RNAcentral lists this ribosomal RNA (825 nucleotides) under Uniappendiculata kunmingensis. Its description in RNAcentral is "Pleosporales sp. ST-2021a partial large subunit ribosomal RNA". It matches the Rfam family "Eukaryotic large subunit ribosomal RNA", at positions 74 to 919 of the family's 3401-position model. Lineage: Eukaryota; Fungi; Ascomycota; Dothideomycetes; Pleosporales; Sulcatisporaceae. The record is from RNAcentral.